RNAcentral lists this long non-coding RNA (222 nucleotides) under Lathyrus oleraceus (garden pea). Its description in RNAcentral is "Pisum sativum (pea) long non-coding RNA (PSAT_LNC001770)". Lineage: Eukaryota; Viridiplantae; Streptophyta; Magnoliopsida; Fabales; Fabaceae. The record is from RNAcentral.
UUGUUUUUUCUUGGUAGUCCAACAGACUGUUUUUAUAUUAGUUUUUAUUUUAAUUCUAAUUUUUAAUCAAUCUUGGUUUACUUAUCCAAAUUAGCAUUAAAAUAAUAACUAAUCAUAAAUGGUCUAGUGGAGAGAGGGUAGUUUCUUGGUCUUUAGUGGAGUGAGUUCGAUACCUAUAUAUGGCAUUUUAUUUCUUUUAGCAUUCAUUUUUUUUUCAUGUUU